This 574-nucleotide ribosomal RNA is filed under the name Trametes versicolor. Its description in RNAcentral is "eukaryotic LSU rRNA". It matches the Rfam family "Eukaryotic large subunit ribosomal RNA", at positions 69 to 627 of the family's 3401-position model. The record is from RNAcentral. Lineage: Eukaryota; Fungi; Basidiomycota; Agaricomycetes; Polyporales; Polyporaceae.
CAAGGAUUCCCCUAGUAACUGCGAGUGAAGCGGGAAAAGCUCAAAUUUAAAAUCUGGCGGUCUUUGGCCGUCCGAGUUGUAGUCUGGAGAAGCGUCUUCCGCGUUGGACCGUGUACAAGUCUCUUGGAACAGAGCGUCAUAGAGGGUGAGAAUCCCGUCUUUGACACGGACUACCAAUGCUUUGUGAUGCGCUCUCAAAGAGUCGCGUUGUUUGGGAAUGCAGCGCAAAAUGGGAGGUGAAUUCCUUCUAAAGCUAAAUAUUGGCGAGAGACCGAUAGCGAACAAGUACCGUGAGGGAAAGAUGAAAAGCACUUUGGAAAGAGAGUUAAACAGUACGUGAAAUUGCUAAAAGGGAAACGCUUGAAGUCAGUCGCGUCGUCCGGAACUCAGCUUUGCUUCGGCUUAGUGCACUUUCCGGUUGACGGGCCAGCAUCGAUUUUGACCGCUGGAAAAGGGCUGGAGGAAUGUGGCACCUUCGGGUGUGUUAUAGCCUUCAGUCGCAUACAGCGGUUGGGAUCGAGGAACGCAGCGCGCCUUAUGGCUGGGGUUCGCCCACAUUCGCGCUUAGGAUGCU